Molecule: ribosomal RNA, 1177 nt
Filed under: Holdemanella biformis
Lineage: Bacteria; Bacillati; Bacillota; Erysipelotrichia; Erysipelotrichales; Erysipelotrichaceae
Description: bacterial SSU rRNA
Rfam family: Bacterial small subunit ribosomal RNA
Source: RNAcentral
GGCGGCAUGCCUAAUACAUGCAAGUCGAACGAGAGGAAGGAAAGCUUGCUUUCCUAAAUCUAGUGGCGAACGGGUGAGUAACACGUAGGUAACCUGCCCAUGUGCCCGGGAUAACUUCUGGAAACGGAUGCUAAAACCGGAUAGGUAGCAGACAAGCAUUUGACUGCUAUUAAAGUGGCCAAGGCCAUGAACAUGGAUGGACCUGCGGUGCAUUAGCUAGUUGGUGAGGUAACGGCCCACCAAGGCGACGAUGCAUAGCCGGCCUGAGAGGGCGGACGGCCACAUUGGGACUGAGACACGGCCCAAACUCCUACGGGAGGCAGCAGUAGGGAAUUUUCGUCAAUGGGGGGAACCCUGAACGAGCAAUGCCGCGUGAGUGAGGAAGGUCUUCGGAUCGUAAAGCUCUGUUGUAAGAGAAAAACGGCACUCAUAGGGAAUGAUGAGUGAGUGAUGGUAUCUUACCAGAAAGUCACGGCUAACUACGUGCCAGCAGCCGCGGUAAUACGUAGGUGGCGAGCGUUAUCCGGAAUGAUUGGGCGUAAAGGGUGCGUAGGUGGCAGAUCAAGUCUGGAGUAAAAGGUAUGGGCUCAACCCGUACUUGCUCUGGAAACUGAUCAGCUAGAGAACAGAAGAGGACGGCGGAACUCCAUGUGUAGCGGUAAAAUGCGUAGAUAUAUGGAAGAACACCGGUGGCGAAGGCGGCCGUCUGGUCUGGAUUCUGACACUGAAGCACGAAAGCGUGGGGAGCAAAUAGGAUUAGAUACCCUAGUAGUCCACGCCGUAAACGAUGAGAACUAGGUGUUGGGGGAAUAACUCAGUGCCGCAGUUAACGCAAUAAGUUCUCCGCCUGGGGAGUAUGCACGCAAGUGUGAAACUCAAAGGAAUUGACGGGGGCCCGCACAAGCGGUGGAGUAUGUGGUUUAAUUCGAAGCAACGCGAAGAACCUUACCAGGCCUUGACAUCCCUUGCAGAGGUAUAGAGAUAUAUCCGAGGUUAUCAAGGAGACAGGUGGUGCAUGGUUGUCGUCAGCUCGUGUCGUGAGAUGUUGGGUUAAGUCCCGCAACGAGCGCAACCCUUGUGAUAUGUUACUAACAUUGAGUUGAGGACUCAUAUCAGACUGCCGGUGAUAAACCGGAGGAAGGUGGGGAUGACGUCAAAUCAUCAUGCCCCUUAUGGC